GUUCCACCCCACAAGUGGGAGCUGUUUUGUCCCAUCCUUAUCCUCUCCCACCUUCCUCAGCCCCUGGGGCACACUGAUGAAAUGGGCAAUAGUCUUAGUUUCUGUGCUUCCAAUUGUAAAGCUGCUUGACUGACACUCUCAAUUUGAUUCUUUCAGCAUGUGAAGAAUUUUCUUUUACAUUUUGUAAGUAAAUCCUAGAGUUCCAGGAUUAGAUUACUCAAUUAAUAAAAUUAUUUCUCCAUUGUGUUAAUAUUUUCAGAGCGAAAAUAUGAUUUGGGGGACUGCUUUCACCGACUCCCCUAAAUUUGGUAAGUUUCUCCUAAUCAUCCUAGUAUUCCAGGAUUAGAUUACUCAGUCAAAAAUAUUCUUUCUCCAUUGUGUUAAUGUUUUCAGAGAGAAAAUAUGAUUUUGGGGACUGCUUUCACCAACUACCCUAAAUUUUGGUAAGUUUCUCCUGGUUAUUCUAGCGUUCCAGGAUUAGAUUACUCAGUCAAAAAUAUUCUUUCUCCGUCAUGUUAAUGUUUUCAGAGAGAAAAUAUGAUUUGGGGGACUGCAUUCACUGACUCCCCUAAAUUUUGGUAAGUUUUUCCUGGUCACCCUAGCGUUGCAGGAUUAGACUACUCAGUCAAAAAUAUUCUUUCUUCAUCAUAUUAAUGUUUUCAGAGAGAAAAUAUGAUUUUGAGGACUGCUUUCACCGACUCCCCUAAAUUUGGUAAGUUUCUCCUAAUCAUCCUAGUAUUCCAGGAUUAGAUUACUCAGUCAAUAAUAUUCUUUCUUCAUCAUAUUAAUGUUUUCAGAGAGAAAAUAUGAUUUUGAGGACUGCUUUCACCGACUCCCCUAAAUUUUGGAAAGUUGUCUUGUGAUCAUCAUCAUCUCUCUGUGACAAUGGUAAAGGCUGCAUGAAAUACUUGGAAUUGGACUUGGUCCACACAGUUCCUGUGCCACCAUCCUGAAGCCCUAGUAGGACCUGGCGUCUUGGCUGUCCCUUGGGGCCGUGCUGGCAGACUAGGCUCGGCGAUUACCAAGUUUGUCUCGGACUCAAGCUCCCGAACCUCCAGUAGCUCUUCUGAACUUUCCAAGGUCACAUGGUCCAUUCCAGUCCCGAUGUAUGUUCAUCUAAGGGAGGUAAGAAACAACAAACCAUGAGUGGGAUAAGUAGGCUAUUGGUACUAAUGCUCUCUCCCUAUGGGGAAACUUAAAAGUACUCUUCAGCUAAACACAUCCAGGCAGGACUGAAGACGAAAGAGCUUCCCUUUUACUUGUAUUAUGUUUUGAAUGCACACCUAGUUGCGCUCAUCAGCCAAACGUCUUACUUCACUAGGUGGCAAGUUCAAAAGUUAUAGGAUUCCUGCACAUGUUUCAAAGGCAGGGAGCACGACCUGCCCAGAAGCAGAUUUACUCUGUCUCCACAUGGCAGAGCAGCCAGAACAAGGUACACUAUUGAAAGGGGGAAAUCCCAAAGGUUCACCCAUCUAGAUCCCUUCUUACCUUUCUCCCAGUUAUUCCUCCUUCCCUAUCCUUUCUAUUAAUUCUCCCACCCUCCUUUCUUCUCUAUCCUUUUUGGUCUACCUACCUCCCUUUCACAUCUUGCCUCCCUUCUAUUAUGCUUUUUCCCCUCCUCUCUUCAUCUUUCCAGCCUUACUUCCCU
RNAcentral lists this long non-coding RNA (1648 nucleotides) under Sarcophilus harrisii (Tasmanian devil). RNAcentral's name for it is "lncRNA (ENSSHAG00000025774.1)". Lineage: Eukaryota; Metazoa; Chordata; Mammalia; Dasyuromorphia; Dasyuridae. The record is from RNAcentral.